This 91-nucleotide transfer RNA is filed under the name bacterium. RNAcentral describes it as "tRNA-Ser". It matches the Rfam family "tRNA". Rfam says of the family: Transfer RNA (tRNA) molecules are approximately 80 nucleotides in length. Their secondary structure includes four short double-helical elements and three loops (D, anti-codon, and T loops). The record is from RNAcentral.
GGAGAGGUGGCUGAGUCCGGUUGAAAGCGGCAGACUCGAAAUCUGUUGUCCUGAUUUUUCGGGACCGGGGGUUCGAAUCCCUCCCUCUCCG